GAUGAACGCUGGCGGCGUGCUUAACACAUGCAAGUCGAACGGAAAGGCCCAAGAUUGCUUGGGUACUCGAGUGGCGAACGGGUGAGUAACACGUGGGUGAUCUGCCCUGCACUUCGGGAUAAGCCUGGGAAACUGGGACUAAUACCGGAUAGGACGAUGGUUUGGAUGCCAUUGUGGAAAGUUUUUUCGGUGUGGGAUGAGCUCGCGGCCUAUCAGCUUGUUGGUGGGGUAAUGGCCUACCAAGGCGUCGACGGGUAGCCGGCCUGAGAGGGUGUACGGCCACAUUGGGACUGAGAUGCGGCCCAGACUCCUACGGGAGGCAGCAGUGGGGAAUAUUGCACAAUGGGCGCAAGCCUGAUGCAGCGACGCCGCGUGGGGGAUGACGGCCUUCGGGUUGUAAACUCCUUUCGCUAGGGAAGAAGCGUUUUUGUGACGGUACCUGGAGAAGAAGCACCGGCUAACUACGUG
Molecule: ribosomal RNA, 468 nt
Filed under: uncultured bacterium
Lineage: Bacteria
Description: partial 16S ribosomal RNA
Rfam family: Bacterial small subunit ribosomal RNA
Source: RNAcentral